UACGAAGGGGGCUAGCGUCGCUCGGAAUCAUUGGGCGUAAAGCGCGUGUAGGCGGCCCGAUUAGUCCGCUGUGAAAGUCCAGGGCUCAACCCUGGGAUGCCGGUGGAUACUGUCGGGCUCGAGUCCGGAAGAGGCGAGUGGAAUUCCUGGUGUAGCGGUGAAAUGCGUAGAUAUCAGGAGGAAUACCGAUGGCGAAGGCAGGUCUCUGGGCUGACACUGACGCUCAUGCACGAAAGCGUGGGGAGCAAACAGG
Molecule: ribosomal RNA, 253 nt
Filed under: uncultured bacterium
Lineage: Bacteria
Description: partial 16S ribosomal RNA
Rfam family: Bacterial small subunit ribosomal RNA
Source: RNAcentral